GAUGAACGCUGGCGGCGUGCUUAACACAUGCAAGUCGAACGAUGAAGCCCAGCUUGCUGGGUGGAUUAGUGGCGAACGGGUGAGUAACACGUGAGUAACCUGCCCUUGACUCUGGGAUAAGCCUGGGAAACUGGGUCUAAUACUGGAUAUGACUUCUCAUCGCAUGGUGGGGGGUGGAAAGAUUUAUUGGUCUUGGAUGGACUCGCGGCCUAUCAGCUUGUUGGUGAGGUAAUGGCUCACCAAGGCGACGACGGGUAGCCGGCCUGAGAGGGUGACCGGCCACACUGGGACUGAGACACGGCCCAGACUCCUACGGGAGGCAGCAGUGGGGAAUAUUGCACAAUGGGCGCAAGCCUGAUGCAGCGACGCCGCGUGAGGGAUGACGGCCUUCGGGUUGUAAACCUCUUUCAGUGGGGAAGAAGCGAGAGUGACGGUACCUGCAGAAGAAGCGCCGGCUAACUACGUG
Molecule: ribosomal RNA, 466 nt
Filed under: uncultured bacterium
Lineage: Bacteria
Description: partial 16S ribosomal RNA
Rfam family: Bacterial small subunit ribosomal RNA
Source: RNAcentral